Molecule: ribosomal RNA, 402 nt
Filed under: Verrucomicrobiota bacterium
Lineage: Bacteria; Pseudomonadati; Verrucomicrobiota
Also listed under: 1 other name
Description: Verrucomicrobia bacterium partial 16S ribosomal RNA
Rfam family: Bacterial small subunit ribosomal RNA
Source: RNAcentral
UGGGGAAUAUUGCACAAUGGAGGGAACUCUGAUGCAGCGACGCCGCGUGAACGAAGAAGGCUUUCGAGUCGUAAAGUUCUUUAUAUGGGAAGAUAAUGACGGUACCAUAAGAAAAAGCCCCGGCUAACUACGUGCCAGCAGCCGCGGUAAUACGUAGGGGGCUAGCGUUGUCCGGAAUCACUGGGCGUAAAGGGUUCGCAGGCGGAAAUGCAAGUCAGGUGUAAAAGGCAGUAGCUUAACUACUGUAAGCAUUUGAAACUGCAUAUCUUGAGAAGAGUAGAGGUAAGUGGAAUUUUUAGUGUAGCGGUGAAAUGCGUAGAUAUUAAAAAGAAUACCGGUGGCGAAGGCGACUUACUGGGCUCAUUCUGACGCUGAGGAACGAAAGCGUGGGUAGCAAACAGG